Molecule: ribosomal RNA, 409 nt
Filed under: uncultured Streptococcus sp.
Lineage: Bacteria; Bacillati; Bacillota; Bacilli; Lactobacillales; Streptococcaceae
Description: bacterial SSU rRNA
Rfam family: Bacterial small subunit ribosomal RNA
Source: RNAcentral
UUACCAGGUCUUGACAUCCCGAUGCUAUUUCUAGAGAUGAAAGUUACUUCGGUACAUCGGUGACAGGUGGUGCAUGGUUGUCGUCAGCUCGUGUCGUGAGAUGUUGGGUUAAGUCCCGCAACGAGCGCAACCCCUAUUGUUAGUUGCCAUCAUUCAGUUGGGCACUCUAGCGAGACUGCCGGUAAUAAACCGGAGGAAGGUGGGGAUGACGUCAAAUCAUCAUGCCCCUUAUGACCUGGGCUACACACGUGCUACAAUGGUUGGUACAACGAGUUGCGAGUCGGUGACGGCGAGCUAAUCUCUUAAAGCCAAUCUCAGUUCGGAUUGUAGGCUGCAACUCGCCUACAUGAAGUCGGAAUCGCUAGUAAUCGCGGAUCGGCACGCCGCGGUGAACACGUUCCCGGGCCUU